AUGAAUUGACGGGGGCCCGCACAAGCGGUGGAGCAUGUGGUUUAAUUCGAUGCAACGCGAAGAACCUUACCUGGUCUUGACAUCCACAGAACUUUCCAGAGAUGGAUUGGUGCCUUCGGGAACUGUGAGACAGGUGCUGCAUGGCUGUCGUCAGCUCGUGUUGUGAAAUGUUGGGUUAAGUCCCGCAACGAGCGCAACCC
This 200-nucleotide ribosomal RNA is filed under the name Klebsiella pneumoniae. Its description in RNAcentral is "partial 16S ribosomal RNA". It matches the Rfam family "Bacterial small subunit ribosomal RNA", at positions 905 to 1104 of the family's 1533-position model. The record is from RNAcentral. Lineage: Bacteria; Pseudomonadati; Pseudomonadota; Gammaproteobacteria; Enterobacterales; Enterobacteriaceae. RNAcentral also lists the same sequence under 2 other names.